This 497-nucleotide ribosomal RNA is filed under the name uncultured bacterium. RNAcentral describes it as "partial 16S ribosomal RNA". It matches the Rfam family "Bacterial small subunit ribosomal RNA", at positions 28 to 507 of the family's 1533-position model. The record is from RNAcentral.
GAUGAACGCUGGCGGCGUGCCUAAUACAUGCAAGUCGAGCGAACAGACGAGGAGCUUGCUCCUCUGACGUUAGCGGCGGACGGGUGAGUAACACGUGGAUAACCUACCUAUAAGACUGGGAUAACUUCGGGAAACCGGAGCUAAUACCGGAUAAUAUAUUGAACCGCAUGGUUCAAUAGUGAAAGACGGUUUUGCUGUCACUUAUAGAUGGAUCCGCGCCGCAUUAGCUAGUUGGUAAGGUAACGGCUUACCAAGGCAACGAUGCGUAGCCGACCUGAGAGGGUGAUCGGCCACACUGGAACUGAGACACGGUCCAGACUCCUACGGGAGGCAGCAGUAGGGAAUCUUCCGCAAUGGGCGAAAGCCUGACGGAGCAACGCCGCGUGAGUGACUAAGGUCUUCGGAUCGUAAAACUCUGUUACUAGGGAAGAACAAAUGUGUAAGUAACUAUGCACGUCUUGACGGUACCUAAUCAGAAAGCCACGGCUAACUACGUG